CCUACGGGAGGCAGCAGUAGGGAAUUUUCCACAAUGGGCGAAAGCCUGAUGGAGCAAUACCGCGUGCAGGAUGAAGGCCUUCGGGUCGUAAACUGCUUUUAUGUGCGAAGAAUUUGACGGUAACACAUGAAUAAGGAUCGGCUAACUACGUGCCAGCAGCCGCGGUCAUACGUAGGAUCCAAGCGUUAUCCGGAAUUACUGGGCGUAAAGAGUUGCGUAGGUGGCAUUAUAAGUGGAGCGUGAAAGCGUGCGGCUCAACCGCAUUAUUGCGUUCCAAACUGUGAAGCUUGAGUAUGGGAGAGGUAGAUGGAAUUUCUAGUGUAGGAGUGAAAUCCGUAGAUAUUAGAAGGAACACCGAUGGCGUAGGCAGUCUACUGGCCCAUUACUGACACUAAGGCACGAAAGCGUGGGGAGCAAACGGGAUUAGAUACCCCGGUAGUCCACGCUGUAAACUAUGGAUGCUAGCUGUGACACACAUCGACCUGUGUCGUAGCGAAGUUAACGCGUUAAGCAUCCCGCCUGGGGAGUACGGUCGCAAGAUUAAAACUUAAAGGAAUUGACGG
RNAcentral lists this ribosomal RNA (563 nucleotides) under uncultured bacterium. Its description in RNAcentral is "bacterial SSU rRNA". It matches the Rfam family "Bacterial small subunit ribosomal RNA", at positions 338 to 916 of the family's 1533-position model. The record is from RNAcentral.